ACGAACGCUGGCGGCGUGCCUAAUACAUGCAAGUCGAGCGGAAUGAUGAAGAAGCUUGCUUCUUCUGAUUUUAGCGGCGGACGGGUGAGUAACACGUGGGCAACCUACCUUGUAGAUUGGGAUAACUCCGGGAAACCGGGGCUAAUACCGAAUAAUCCAUUUUGCUUCAUGGCGAGAUGUUAAAAGGCGGCUUCGGCUGUCACUACGAGAUGGGCCCGCGGCGCAUUAGCUAGUUGGUAGGGUAAUGGCCUACCAAGGCGACGAUGCGUAGCCGACCUGAGAGGGUGAUCGGCCACACUGGGACUGAGACACGGCCCAGACUCCUACGGGAGGCAGCAGUAGGGAAUCUUCCACAAUGGACGAAAGUCUGAUGGAGCGACGCCGCGUGAGUGAAGAAGGUUUUCGGAUCGUAAAACUCUGUUGUAAGGGAAGAACACGUACGAGAGUAACUGCUCGUACCUUGACGGUACCUUAUUAGAAAGCCACGGCUAACUACGUG
RNAcentral lists this ribosomal RNA (499 nucleotides) under uncultured bacterium. Its description in RNAcentral is "bacterial SSU rRNA". It matches the Rfam family "Bacterial small subunit ribosomal RNA", at positions 29 to 507 of the family's 1533-position model. The record is from RNAcentral.